AUUGAACGCUGGCGGCAUGCCUUACACAUGCAAGUCGAACGGCAGCAUGAUCUAGCUUGCUAGAUUGAUGGCGAGUGGCGAACGGGUGAGUAAUACAUCGGAACGUGCCCUGUAGUGGGGGAUAACUAGUCGAAAGAUUAGCUAAUACCGCAUACGACCUGAGGGUGAAAGUGGGGGACCGCAAGGCCUCAUGCUAUAGGAGCGGCCGAUGUCUGAUUAGCUAGUUGGUGAGGUAAAGGCUCACCAAGGCGACGAUCAGUAGCUGGUCUGAGAGGACGAUCAGCCACACUGGGACUGAGACACGGCCCAGACUCCUACGGGAGGCAGCAGUGGGGAAUUUUGGACAAUGGGCGAAAGCCUGAUCCAGCAAUGCCGCGUGUGUGAAGAAGGCCUUCGGGUUGUAAAGCACUUUUGUCUGGAAAGAAAUGGCUCUGGUUAAUACCUGGGGUCGAUGACGGUACCGGAAGAAUAAGGACCGGCUAACUACGUG
This 490-nucleotide ribosomal RNA is filed under the name uncultured bacterium. RNAcentral's name for it is "partial 16S ribosomal RNA". It matches the Rfam family "Bacterial small subunit ribosomal RNA", at positions 30 to 507 of the family's 1533-position model. The record is from RNAcentral.